RNAcentral lists this long non-coding RNA (1716 nucleotides) under Cricetulus griseus (Chinese hamster). Its description in RNAcentral is "lncRNA (ENSCGRG00015033012.1)". Lineage: Eukaryota; Metazoa; Chordata; Mammalia; Rodentia; Cricetidae. The record is from RNAcentral.
UCUAAGUAUGACAUCUGCCGCUGAGCUCCAAAGCUCUGUGAUAAGCUGCGGGCUCCUGCCAUUAACCCAGAAGAGGCCUUUCCUUUGUUGUGCUUUCCCUGGAAGUAGAAAAUAACUGCCCUGAAUGCACUCCAUCCCACAUCCCAGAACAUCACCACAAAGCUAGCCACGUGCUCCGUGCUCCAUGGACCCCAGAUGACUUGUGUGCCUCGGGGCAGGAGUUCAGAAGGAAGCACUGCCUUCCCAGAGUGGGACCGUCAGCACUGGACUCAAUCAGCCUCAUGAAGACACGCCUGGGCAAUCUCCUGCAAACUCAGAGGGAUGAGAGGGCAAAACAGGACAAAGCAAAUCAGAGCAAAGAGCAAAGGAGAGACAUACACACGUGCCAAGGUGCACAAGUGGAUGUCAGAAGCUCUUUUGCUACAUAAUGGAUUCGAGACUACCCUAGACUACACAAGACCCUGCCUCAAAAAAAGAAGAGAGAGAGACUGAGAAGUAAGUAUACUUCUUACUUACUUACUUACUAACUACUGCGGGCCAUCUAAGAACUUAAAAGCUCUCUGCACAAGGGUCAGCCGUGGCUGUUCACACUCAUAACCCUAACCCUAACAAGGCUAGGGUUGCAAGGAUGGAGCAAGAGGAUCCCAGAUUUGGGAUCAGCUUGGGCUACAUAGCAAGCUGCCAUUUCAAGAAGACGAGGAGGAGAGAAAGGAAGAGGAAGACCAUCUUCCAGACUGGUGCUCGUCCAGCGUGUGCAAUAUCCUGGAUUCCAUCUCAGCACUGAACUCCCUCUCUGAGUGCCCCUCCCCGCAAAACCCAACUCUGUCUAUCUUAUUUCAGAACAGUGUCAGCCCAGCAUCCAUGUAUCUUAUCCAUUGGCUGGAUCAUUGAUUACCCAGUAACUUUGCUGUUAAACUUAAUGAGCCACCACCCAGUAGUGGUGACACACGCCUUUAAUCCCAGCACUUGAGAGGCAGAGGCUGGCAGAUCUCUGUGAGUUUGAGGCCAGCCUGGUCUACAGAGUGAGUUCCAGGACAGCCAGGACUGAUUCACAGAGAAACCCUGUCUCGAAAAACAAAAAUGAAACAAAAACAAACAAACAAAAAACAAGCAAAAGCCUUGAUAAAGCCUCAAAGAAUUAUGAUUUCAAGGUCCCUUUCCUGCCCACAUUUGUUCAGGGGAAACUUUUGAACAUUUAACUUCCAUAUAGAGGCUAUGUAAUAAGUAUACAGCUAUAUAAUUUGUUCCCAGAAACAGUGAUGAAUACAGACCGAGCCAGUUAAGGGAGACAACUGCGUAUUUUUAAUGCUCUUUAGGGACAUCCUAAAAUAAACUUGUUUGUUUUCCUUUUUUUUUAAGUUGGAGGAGAAGAAUGAGGGGUUAUGGUUUGAUGAUUUUGGAGUUUCGUGGAUAGCAGGUAACAGUGGUUACACAAUGACAUGAAUAGAACUCAAGUGUCAUCAAACUUUAUUCCGGGAAGCAGUUAAGAGGUAAGUUUCAUGUUAGCAUGUACUUUGUCACAAAUUUUUGGAGACAGUAAGAUAGCUACUUUUCCACUCAAAACUACUAAAUCAUAUCCCACACAUCCAUUAAGUCAGGGCUAAACUUUACAGGAACUAACAGAUAGGGCAAAACUUUUAAUAAUAAAGCAAAAGUCCUCCAAUAGCAACAGUGGCUCCUCUCUUAAUGGUGUGUGUGUGUGUGUGUGUGUGUGUG